CAAGUAGUAAAUAAUAACUAUAGCUGCAAAAAUAAGUUCAGUGAAUUAAAAGCACAUCUCUGAAUGUCAUAAUAACAAUGACACAAAAUGGAAGUUUCGAGAGCGUUUCAUUCAUUAGUUUUACAGAUUUUAGUACCUGUUGCUGCAGUUCUUGUCUCAAUGGGACAUCUAGUGGUUCUGAUGGCGUACUGCAAUAAGACAAGAAUAAGAAUAAGAAAACCUUUAAUAGUCCCGCAGUGAGGAAAUUGCGGAAGUAGCUUCAAUCUUCUACUGGAGGAAAGUGUUGGCAUGAACUGUGACGUCAUUGCGGGUGUAAGCAUGCGCAAACACCCAUUGUAAGUACAGACACAACAACACGUGAAGACAAAGUUGAAGUGAAAGCACUUCAAGACUCAUUUGACCACGGUGCGGAGUGACUCAAAUGUUUUGAAGGUUGGCUCAACUUUAAGGAUGGAGGAUUUUACACACUCACGAGGUGAGAUCACGAGCAAGAGAAGGAUAAAAUCAGGAGAUACUUUCAGAAAAAAAGAGAAUCAGGAGGAGGUGAUUGUAGAACGAUAGAAAAGGUUGGAAACAAUGUUUACAGAAUCUGCUUUAAGAAAAAAGCAGGUAAGAGACGUACCAAAGGGCUGUAAAAGCAAUGUUUAAUGCAUUCAUGAGUUUAAUGGAAACUAACUAAGCUUCAGUUAUACUUUACUUUUAUUAACGUGUCUUUAGACCAGCAGAGGGUGUUGGAAAGAAAGGACCACACCAUUCCUCUUCCCUGUCGACAGCUGCAUCUGACAGUGAGUCUGAUCAAGUCUUCUGACACUCCUGAAACCACUGAUCAACCAACCAGCAGAGACUCACAGUCGACUGGUCCAGGAGGUUCUGCAGAUUUAAAUGCAACUUUAACUAACCUGACAUCAGACACGCUGGUUCUGGAUGGAUCUGGGACACAGCAAUACUUCCAGGGAACAGGGAGACAAGACAAGGAACUAGUAGAGAGGAUCUAUCAGGUCCUCAUCAAGGAACAGCAACAAGGAAAUUCUCAGAGUUCGGCAACCCAGUUACAAUAGAGCAGCAUCUGCAACAUGUCCAGCACCAGAUGGAAAUGCAACACCACUAGCAGCCCAACUCCCCCAGUCAGCAAAACAGACCUAAAGAUCACAACUGGCAGUUUGGAGGAUGAGCAGGUGAGACUGUUUCCUUUUAGAUGCUUUAUAUUGAGCAGUCAGGUGUCAUUUGGUAAUAACAUUUCACGUUAUAUUUAAAGGUGAAUGUGCUGGUGGCCCCCAUUAUAAACAGGAAGCUUACAUCCACGAAAAUUGGUAAAAGUCUGU
This 1322-nucleotide long non-coding RNA is filed under the name Betta splendens (Siamese fighting fish). RNAcentral's name for it is "lncRNA (ENSBSLG00000005510.1)". Lineage: Eukaryota; Metazoa; Chordata; Actinopteri; Anabantiformes; Osphronemidae. The record is from RNAcentral.